UUGGCUGUGGCUCAGUGGUAGAGCAUUUGUUUUGCAUGCAGAUGGCCCCAGGUUCAAUCCUGGGCAUCUUAAA
Molecule: non-coding RNA, 73 nt
Organism: Podarcis lilfordi (Lilford's wall lizard)
Lineage: Eukaryota; Metazoa; Chordata; Lepidosauria; Squamata; Lacertidae
Source: the annotation of a GenBank genome assembly